RNAcentral lists this ribosomal RNA (253 nucleotides) under uncultured bacterium. RNAcentral's name for it is "partial 16S ribosomal RNA". It matches the Rfam family "Bacterial small subunit ribosomal RNA", at positions 524 to 776 of the family's 1533-position model. The record is from RNAcentral.
UACGGAGGGUGCGAGCGUUGUCCGGAAUCACUGGGCGUAAAGGGCGCGUAGGCGGCCUGAUAAGUAGGGGGUGAAAUCCUGCGGCUUAACCGCAGGGCUGCCUUCUAAACUGUCAGGCUGGAGCACAGUAGAGGCAGGUGGAAUUCCCGGUGUAGCGGUGAAAUGCGUAGAGAUCAGGAAGAACAUCGGUGGCGAAGGCGCUCUGCUGGACCAUAACUGACACUCAGGGACGAAAGCUAGGGGAGCGAAUGGG